CCUACGGGCGGCAGCAGUGAGGAAUAUUGGUCAAUGGACGCAAGUCUGAACCAGCCAUGCCGCGUGCAGGAAGACGGCUCUAUGAGUUGUAAACUGCUUUUGUACGAGGGUAAACGCAGAUACGCGUAUCUGUCUGAAAGUAUCGUACGAAUAAGGAUCGGCUAACUCCGUGCCAGCCGCCGCGGUAAUACGGAGGAUUCAAGCGUUAUCCGGAUUUAUUGGGUUUAAAGGGUGCGUAGGCGGUCGGAUAAGUUAGAGGUGAAAUCCCGAGGCUCAACUUCGGAAUUGCCUCUGAUACUGGUCGGCUAGAGAGUAGUUGCGGUAGGCGGAAUGUAUGGUGUAGCGGUGAAAUGCUUAGAGAUCGUACAGAACACCGAUUGCGAAGGCAGCUUACCAGGCUACUUCUGACGUUGAGGCACGAAAGCGUGGGGAGCAAACAGGAUUAGAUACCCUAGUAGUC
RNAcentral lists this ribosomal RNA (460 nucleotides) under uncultured bacterium. RNAcentral describes it as "partial 16S ribosomal RNA". It matches the Rfam family "Bacterial small subunit ribosomal RNA", at positions 338 to 795 of the family's 1533-position model. The record is from RNAcentral.